Molecule: ribosomal RNA, 253 nt
Filed under: uncultured bacterium
Lineage: Bacteria
Description: partial 16S ribosomal RNA
Rfam family: Bacterial small subunit ribosomal RNA
Source: RNAcentral
UACAGAGGUCUCAAGCGUUGUUCGGAUUCAUUGGGCGUAAAGGGUGCGUAGGCGGCGCGGUAAGUCAGGUGUGAAAUCUUGGAGCUUAACUCCGAAACUGCAUUCGAUACUGCCGUGCUUGAGGACUGGAGAGGAGACUGGAAUUUACGGUGUAGCAGUGAAAUGCGUAGAGAUCGUAAGGAAGGCCAGUGGCGAAGGCGAGUUCCUGGACAGUUACUGACGCUGAGGCGCGAAAGCUAGGGGAGCAAACGGG